UAAUCUGAGCGUCUUAUUUUAAUAAGUCAAAACUUUCAACAACGGAUCUCUUGGUUCUGGCAUCGAUGAAGAACGCAGCGAAAUGCGAUACGUAAUGUGAAUUGCAGAAUUCAGUGAAUCAUCGAAUCUUUGAACGCACAUUGCGCCCAUUAGUAUUCUAGUGGGCAUGCCUGUUCGAGCGUCAUUUCAACCCUUAAGCUUAGCUUAGU
This 209-nucleotide ribosomal RNA is filed under the name Seimatosporium luteosporum. RNAcentral's name for it is "5.8S ribosomal RNA". The stretch from base 31 to 184 matches the Rfam family "5.8S ribosomal RNA". Rfam says of the family: 5.8S ribosomal RNA (5.8S rRNA) is a component of the large subunit of the eukaryotic ribosome. It is transcribed by RNA polymerase I as part of the 45S precursor that also contains 18S and 28S rRNA. Lineage: Eukaryota; Fungi; Ascomycota; Sordariomycetes; Amphisphaeriales; Sporocadaceae. The record is from RNAcentral.